CUAUUUGAGAGAGAGAGAGAGGGGGAGGGAGAGAGAGAGAGAGUGAGAGAGAGAGAGAGAGAGAGAGAGAGAGGUGAGCAACAACUUUUUAAACAAAUAAAUAACUGAAGAUGAAAAAAUACAACAUUGUAAGAUUUAGCAAAAUUUCAUGAAUUAUAUUUCAAAA
This is a long non-coding RNA of Octopus sinensis (East Asian common octopus), 166 nucleotides long. RefSeq lists it as uncharacterized. The transcript has 3 exons. NCBI's taxonomy places the organism in Eukaryota, Metazoa, Mollusca, Cephalopoda, Octopoda, Octopodidae. The record is from RefSeq and is a predicted model, not a curated record.